GCUUAACUUCUUCUUGGUCUGCACACCAACCCACCAAAAAAGUGAAACGUUUAUGACAGGAAAAAGGGCACCGAUUGGGUUCAUUAACUAAUUUCGGGUCUGUUGUUUUAAUUAUGAUAUAUAAAAAAGUGCCCAUUUCCCGACAGAAAAAAAGCAGGCCUCACGUUCUUGACGGCCCAGAAUGAGCUGGUGGCACAUUCAUCAAGCGCACCGAGGCAAUAGGGACGUUCGGGAAUUCGAGCAUCAAGUGGUGAAGGUGCCUACGCCUAAGCUUACGCACCGAGCGAUCUUCCACGAUCGUAAAACAGCGCCUCUGCACGCAGCUCCAUUCUUCGCUGGUUGACAUUCAUUAGCGGCCAAAUGGUAAAUGUAUGCUGAGCGAAGAUGCUGCACGAGAUUCGGUUCUAACGGGCCCGCGGGAAGGUAUGAAAGGCUAUCGAAUUAAGGGUGAUAAUUAGGUGCGCUUGGAAAAGGGAGAUGGAUAGUUAAGGAACGCAACCUGUUGGGAAGCAAAGCCCUGUUAGGCUUUAGUUUUGAACCCUGAGGUAAGAUACAGGAAAAAGCGGCCGACUGACCGAGGUAAGUAACUCCAAUCGUUCCAAAGUCGUCGCUAAUCUCUCAAUUACUUCAUGACCCACAAACAUCUGUUCCGUUUUGGACAGGAACAAAUGCAGCGCAACGAAUCUCGCCCACGGUUUCUUAACGACAGCGCUUGUGUGUGGGAAUUUGUCGGCUUAGCCUAACGGCUAAAGGGUUAUCCAUGAACAACGUAACGUGCAAAGAAAUUUGAUGCAAAUAAAAAAAACAAACAAGAUAAUUUUUACCGACA
Anopheles gambiae (African malaria mosquito) is the source of this 829-nucleotide long non-coding RNA. RefSeq lists it as uncharacterized. The record is from RefSeq and is a predicted model, not a curated record. The transcript has 2 exons. Lineage: Eukaryota; Metazoa; Arthropoda; Insecta; Diptera; Culicidae.